UACGGAGGGUGCGAGCGUUGUCCGGAAUCACUGGGCGUAAAGGGCGCGUAGGCGGUUCGUUAAGUCGUUGGUGAAAUCCCGGGGCUCAACUCCGGGGCGGCCGGCGAGACUGGCGGGCUCGAGCACGGUAGAGGCAGAUGGAAUUCCCGGUGUAGCGGUGGAAUGCGUAGAUAUCGGGAAGAACACCGGUGGCGAAGGCGUUCUGCUGGGCCGUUGCUGACGCUGAGGCGCGACAGCGUGGGGAGCAAAC
RNAcentral lists this ribosomal RNA (250 nucleotides) under uncultured bacterium. Its description in RNAcentral is "partial 16S ribosomal RNA". It matches the Rfam family "Bacterial small subunit ribosomal RNA", at positions 524 to 773 of the family's 1533-position model. The record is from RNAcentral.